RNAcentral lists this ribosomal RNA (492 nucleotides) under uncultured bacterium. RNAcentral describes it as "partial 16S ribosomal RNA". It matches the Rfam family "Bacterial small subunit ribosomal RNA", at positions 29 to 507 of the family's 1533-position model. The record is from RNAcentral.
AGUGAACGCUGGCGGCGGGCCUAAUACAUGCAAGUCGAGCGAACGGACGGUAAGCUUUCGCCUUUGAGGGUGGCGGCUGGCGGGUGGGUGAGGCGUACAUCGGCUUCUUAUUUUACGGGGGGGACUUCGUGGGGCCAGAUCUGAUACUACAGAAUAUGUUGUACGGGUGAGAGCAGGGGUUCAUGGCAGUUUGCGUGUCUGAUUGAGAUGAAGCCGGAUUAGCUAGUUGGCGAGGUAAAGGCCCACCAAGGCAACGAUACGUAGCUGAUCUGAGAGGAUGAUCAGCCACACUGGAACUGAGACACGGUCCAGACUCCUACGGGAGGCAGCAGUAGGGAAUAUUGCGCAAUGGGCGCAAGCCUGAUCCAGCCAUACCGCGUGAGUGAAGAAGGCCUUCGGAUCGUAAAGCCCUGUUGUUAGGAAAGAAAAGCUGCGUAUGUAACCCCGGCUGUUCUGACGGUACCCAAUCAGAAAGCACCGGCUAACUACGUG